RNAcentral lists this long non-coding RNA (894 nucleotides) under Olea europaea subsp. europaea. Lineage: Eukaryota; Viridiplantae; Streptophyta; Magnoliopsida; Lamiales; Oleaceae. The record is from RNAcentral.
GAGAAACCACACCCCUUUUAUGAGGGACUCAUUUGGGAAUUUUACAUCAAUUUUAAUAGUGAGAUAGAUAUCCCAAGUUCAGUGGAUCUACAUCAAACAAAGGUGAGAGACAACUGGAUUAUGUUCUCACCUGAGAUCAUAAAUGACUACUAUUAGCUGAUUUGGGAGAAUGUUGUGCCAAUUCUUGAGAAUUUCAAUUGGAAUGGGUAUUUGUUGAUAAACUACUUUAGAAUACGGAUAAUUCUAUGUAAAUUGUGUUUUGCAGGAUAGCAUUGAUGAAUAUGAUGAAAUUAAAGAAAACAGCCAAAAAGGACCAAAAUGGAGGAAAAUCAAAGUUCAAUGACCAAAUUGUAAAUCAUCGAAAGAUGAUCUAGCAAAAGAGAUGAAGAGCGAAUGAAUAAAGUCUUGAAAGGAAAAAAUGUGGGAAAAGAGAUCAAAGAACAAGAAAGCAGAGUUUAGGGACUAAAAUGCAAAUUUAAAAUUUUAUGAACAGUUGUCUGGUCGCAUUGCAACAUAUGCAUUAUCAUAGCCAUUUCGCAGAGAAAAAAUAUGUCUUCCUUACACAACUCAACUCUCGCGAAAACAAUCUUGGAGGUGUCUUUUAAGGCCUAAGGCUGCCUAGAGACAAAGAAAGGACAUAUCAGGACCAAUUGAAGAGCAUAGAAGGUGGCGAGAAACAUCAAGAACAAUUCCAAGACAUCAAGAUCCAACUCAAUACAUAUUUUGGGUGAUGUCAAUAUUUUAUAAUUCUUAUUUUCUUCUUGAUGCCAUGUUAUGCUAGAUUUCUUUGCGUUAGGAGAAUGAUGAAUCUUAUAAUAUGAGUUUUUAAUCUUUAGUUUUAUAUACUUCACAUUAAAGACAUGUUACUAUUAUUAAAUGAUAUACAUGAUUAUA